UACGUAGGGUGCGAGCGUUGUCCGGAAUUAUUGGGCGUAAAGAGCUCGUAGGCGGACUGUCACGUCCGCUGUGAAAAGCUAGGGCUUAACCCUGGCCUUGCAGUGGAUACGGGCAGACUAGAGGUAGGUAGGGGAGAAUGGAAUUCCCGGUGUAGCGGUGAAAUGCGCAGAUAUCGGGAGGAACACCGGUGGCGAAGGCGGCAUCCUGGACCGACAUUGACGCUGAGGAGCGAAAGCUAGGGGAGCAAACGGG
RNAcentral lists this ribosomal RNA (253 nucleotides) under uncultured bacterium. Its description in RNAcentral is "partial 16S ribosomal RNA". It matches the Rfam family "Bacterial small subunit ribosomal RNA", at positions 524 to 776 of the family's 1533-position model. The record is from RNAcentral.